ACAUAACUGCGAGCUCUCGGACUUGAAUACGCUGCUGGUGGACUUUGAAAAAGGCCACUUCGACGAAUUCACCGGUGGCAUCACUGUCAAAGUUCACGCACAGUCCAACCUCAGAAAACGAGAUGGACCAAAUAGCUUGAGUACCUUGGCUGGAAGGUUGAAGCAUCCGUUCCACUUCCCUCACGUGCCAGACGCGGACUGCGGGAAGAUCGACGCGUACAAGUUUGGUAUAGCCUGCGUAGAAAUGAUCACCGGACAAACCAUCGGGGAAGAAAUACUGCUCUCUGGAAAACUACCGCAACUGCCUCACGAUUGCACGGGAAUCAAGGCUGUGAUAGAGAAAUGCCUGAGCUCGCAGCCUCCGGGCUUCCAUCAAAUCGUGGAACUCCUGCAAUCAGCUCAACUUAGACUGGAGAUUCCGCCUACAAGCGACAUAGACUACCGACGGAUGCUUCUGGACUCCAGCGCUCAAACUGGACUCAAGCUCGACAUAACGGGAGACGCAGUAAUUGGUGGCAAGCUCAUUGCUGUUGGAAACGUAGAAAAUGUGGGUAACAGGCUCUACCAGUGGAUCCGUCAGCACAAAGAUGGAACUAUAGAGCGGUUGCGGCCAUUUCUCGUGACGGAGUUGGACUCUGGGACACUGGAGUAUGAUCUAACAGCCGACGACUUCAACAAGGCGAUCUCACUAACUUACGUGGAUAUGAACGAAAAGAUCGAAGUUUCCGGCAGAGAAACCACGAACAGUCGAUGGGUUUCCUAUAGUGACACUAUGAAGCGGGCGCUCAAGAUGAUAUGGGGAGCUGGCGAGGCCAAGUUCAAGGUUUUGCAGCUAAGGGAAGAAGAAGGGAGCAAGCAGAGCUACCUGGUGAUUAGACGGCCGCAUUGCAUGCUGGAGUGGAAGCGCUACUACUUGAAAAGGAUGGAGAUCAAGAUCGCGUUCACCUCCCCGGCGGCCGGCAUCAAAAUAUCCGAGGAGAAUCCGCAAAUUUGCCAGCUGAUCGAUAACGGCGGCGCGGAGGCCUGCAAGAUCCGAUUCAAGAACGCGUUCGAGAGAGACCUGGCGGUGCUUACCUUCCGGCAUUUCUUGCGCGCCUGUGAGAAGGGGAAGCGCUCGCGACGACGAUGACAUCCAAAAUGCUGUGAGUCAACGGCGCGCGCCGGUGAUUUCUUGCUGGAAAUCGAAGUAGAAAUGAAG
This 1198-nucleotide long non-coding RNA is filed under the name Selaginella moellendorffii. RNAcentral's name for it is "long non-coding RNA (SMOE_LNC000348)". Lineage: Eukaryota; Viridiplantae; Streptophyta; Lycopodiopsida; Selaginellales; Selaginellaceae. The record is from RNAcentral.